CUUUACCAACCAGGUACUAAACCUGCAGAACCAGUCUGAAAAAGGAACGGUAUCCAAAGGCUACCCAGAUACAGGCUGGUGGCAAGAAAGGCUCAGGAAAAUGUGGAGCUGUGACCAGAAAUCAAAUACGGUUGAGGAUGGUCUUACUUCUCCAUGUUCUGAAACCAGUUUAAACAAAAACAAAAACCAGACAACAACCUCGCAAGGAGCUCAGGGUAAACAAACAGCCUUUUUCUGGAAAGUAAAAUGUUUCCCCAAGAUGGGGAAAUUGAGAUGAGAGCUCGUCCAGAAGAAUACCCAUCAAUGUGCACUAAAUAGAAAAAUCAGCCAGAAAACUGGGAGCUUUUAAUAUCAGGAAACUUACACAAAUACCAUGAUUCCCAGAAGAGAUGUUUUGUAAAUAAGUCUGGGAUAAAAUGCAACAGAAGCGAGCCACGGUAAGCCCCUUCUUCACUUUGAGGUUGAUC
Equus quagga is the source of this 467-nucleotide long non-coding RNA. RefSeq lists it as uncharacterized. The record is from RefSeq and is a predicted model, not a curated record. NCBI's taxonomy places the organism in Eukaryota, Metazoa, Chordata, Mammalia, Perissodactyla, Equidae. The transcript is spliced from 4 exons.